RNAcentral lists this long non-coding RNA (494 nucleotides) under Serinus canaria (Common canary). RNAcentral's name for it is "lncRNA (ENSSCAG00000010893.1)". Lineage: Eukaryota; Metazoa; Chordata; Aves; Passeriformes; Fringillidae. The record is from RNAcentral.
GGGCGUUGUACCAGCAGCAGAUGAGAGAUCUGGAAAGAAAGAAUGAAAUGCUUGGACUCAACAUUCAAAGUCAGCAGGAAAGAACGCAACAAUUGGGCAGUGAAAAGGAAACCAUGCAGGAAGAGUUGAAGCAUGGGGCUGCUGCUUUGAAGAAAGGAAGAGGGAACACUCUAAGUGCUGCAAUGACCAAGUUUAAAAUUGCCAAAGGGGCUCUGCAGAAACGCUUGGCCUUCCAGAAGGGAAAGAGUUGUAUCCAGCCAGGCACUGACAUUGACUUGCAUUCUCCUGCAUCGUCCCUGAAUUAUUCCAGAGAUGUUUCCCAUGGAGAGGCUGUGGGAGCAGAAGAGGAGCAGCUGUUUUGUGGCUCAAGGACCAGCCUGGAAUUUAAGAAACUGCUUGCAUCAGCAGAGAAGGAGAAGAGAGAGAGGCCUGAAUUAUCCACUGUGCCCAGGAGAAGUGGUGAGCAGCAGGCUGUUGGAGCACAAGAGGAGCAG